GACGUUAAUUUUUUUUUCUUCUUUUCAAUUGCUCUACAGUUAGAUCGAAAAGUUGAGCCUUGUGUGUGUGUGUGUGUGUGUGUGUGUGUGUUACUGUUCUAUAAAAAGAAAACUAACACUGAUUGGGAUGAUGGAAGUUAGGGGUGCACUGAUCACACCUUUCUGGCCGAUCCCCGAUCUUUAUAAAGCCUGACCUGCUGAUCCCGAUUUCUUUUCAUUACUUGUGGAACAAUACUAUUUGGGUUGUUUUAAACACAUGAAGUCCAUUCUAUUAUUUAGAAAUAGAAAGCCUGUUAAUCAUCUCAAAGCAGAAGAGGACAAGUGGAGGGGAAUGUGAUUGGUGGACAAGAUCGGUUUUAUUAAUGAGAUCCGUUGAUCACCAAUUACCACCACCUACCUACCCCACC
Hippocampus zosterae (dwarf seahorse) is the source of this 407-nucleotide long non-coding RNA. RefSeq lists it as uncharacterized. NCBI's taxonomy places the organism in Eukaryota, Metazoa, Chordata, Actinopteri, Syngnathiformes, Syngnathidae. The transcript has 2 exons. The record is from RefSeq and is a predicted model, not a curated record.